This 253-nucleotide ribosomal RNA is filed under the name uncultured Acidobacteriota bacterium. RNAcentral's name for it is "uncultured Acidobacteria bacterium partial 16S ribosomal RNA". It matches the Rfam family "Bacterial small subunit ribosomal RNA", at positions 524 to 776 of the family's 1533-position model. The record is from RNAcentral. Lineage: Bacteria; Pseudomonadati; Acidobacteriota.
GACGUAGGGGGCCAGCGUUGCUCGGAAUAACUGGGCGUAAAGGGUCCGUAGGCGGUGCAGCAAGUCGAGAGUGAAAUCUCUGGGCUUAACUCAGAGACUGCUUCCGAAACUGCUGUGCUCGAGUGCGAGAGAGGCGAGUGGAAUUGCAGGUGUAGCGGUGAAAUGCGUAGAUAUCUGCAGGAACACCAGAGGCGAAAGCGGCUCGCUGGAUCGCAACUGACGCUGAGGGACGAAAGCUAGGGGAGCAAACAGG